AUUGAACGCUGGCGGCAUGCCUUACACAUGCAAGUCGAACGGUAACGCGGGGCAACCUGGCGACGAGUGGCGAACGGGUGAGUAAUAUAUCGGAACGUGCCCAGUCGUGGGGGAUAACUGCUCGAAAGAGCAGCUAAUACCGCAUACGACCUGAGGGUGAAAGCGGGGGAUCUUCGGACCUCGCGCGAUUGGAGCGGCCGAUAUCAGAUUAGGUAGUUGGUGGGGUAAAGGCCUACCAAGCCGACGAUCUGUAGCUGGUCUGAGAGGACGACCAGCCACACUGGGACUGAGACACGGCCCAGACUCCUACGGGAGGCAGCAGUGGGGAAUUUUGGACAAUGGGCGAAAGCCUGAUCCAGCAAUGCCGCGUGCAGGAUGAAGGCCUCGGUU
Molecule: ribosomal RNA, 390 nt
Filed under: uncultured bacterium
Lineage: Bacteria
Description: bacterial SSU rRNA
Rfam family: Bacterial small subunit ribosomal RNA
Source: RNAcentral